AACGAACGCUGGCGGCAGGCCUAACACAUGCAAGUCGAACGCUGUCUUCGGUAGUAGUGGCUCACGCGUGCGUCACACGUGGGAACGAGCCGUAUGCAUCGUAAUAACUCCAGGAAACUUGUGCUCAUACAGGAUGAUUACUUCGGCAUAAAGAUUGAUCGCCAUUAGAUUGGCCCGCGUCUGAUUAGCUACUUUGUAGGAUAACGGCACAUCCGGGCGACGAUCUGUAGCUGGUCUGAGAGGAGGACCAGCCACACUGUGACUGAGGCACGGCCCAGACUCCUACGUGAAGCAGCAGUGGGGAGUCUGGCACAAUGGGCGAGAGCCUGAGAAAGCGAUGCCGCGUGAUGGAAGAAGGUCUUAGGAGGGUAAAAUUCUGUCAACGGGGAGGAUAAUGACAGUACCCGGAGAAGAAGCCCCGGCUAACUUCGUG
This 433-nucleotide ribosomal RNA is filed under the name uncultured bacterium. RNAcentral's name for it is "partial 16S ribosomal RNA". It matches the Rfam family "Bacterial small subunit ribosomal RNA", at positions 29 to 507 of the family's 1533-position model. The record is from RNAcentral.